CAGCCGCCGCGGUAAUACGAGGGGUGCAAGCGUUAAUCGGAAUUACUGGGCGUAAAGCGUGCGUAGGCGGUUUGUUAAGUCUGUUGUGAAAUCCCCGGGCUCAACCUGGGAAUGGCAAUGGAUACUGGCAAGCUAGAGUGUGUCAGAGGAUGGUGGAAUUCCCGGUGUAGCGGUGAAAUGCGUAGAGAUCGGGAGGAACAUCAGUGGCGAAGGCGGCCAUCUGGGACAACACUGACGCUGAGGCACGAAAGCGUGGGGAGCAAACAGGAUUAGAUACCCGCGUAGUCCCUGUCUCUUAUAC
RNAcentral lists this ribosomal RNA (301 nucleotides) under uncultured bacterium. RNAcentral's name for it is "partial 16S ribosomal RNA". It matches the Rfam family "Bacterial small subunit ribosomal RNA", at positions 509 to 807 of the family's 1533-position model. The record is from RNAcentral.